UGAAUCGGUGGAUUAUAACUUUGAGCGG
RNAcentral lists this ribosomal RNA (28 nucleotides) under Albinaria voithii. RNAcentral describes it as "partial 5.8S ribosomal RNA". The record is from RNAcentral. Lineage: Eukaryota; Metazoa; Mollusca; Gastropoda; Stylommatophora; Clausiliidae.